RNAcentral lists this ribosomal RNA (786 nucleotides) under uncultured bacterium. RNAcentral describes it as "bacterial SSU rRNA". It matches the Rfam family "Bacterial small subunit ribosomal RNA", at positions 56 to 853 of the family's 1533-position model. The record is from RNAcentral.
UGCAAGUCGAGCGGAGUCUUCGGACUCAGCGGCGGACGGGUGAGUAACACGUAAAUAAUCUGCCCUUCAGUUGGGGACAACUAUUCUAACGGAUAGCUAAUACCGAAUAUUGUAACGCUUCGCAUGUUGUCGUUACGAAAGGCUUCGGCCGCUGGAGGGUGAAUUUGCGUCGCAUUAGCUUGUUGGUGGGGUAGUGGCCCACCAAGGCUUCGAUGCGUAGCCGGCCUGAGAGGGUGAACGGCCACAUUGGGACUGAGAUACGGCCCAGACUCCUACGGGAGGCAGCAGUAGGGAAUUUUGCGCAAUGGGGGAAACCCUGACGCAGCAACGCCAUGUGAGGGAUGAAGCAUUUAGGUGUGUAAACCUCUGUCAGUAGGGAAUAAAUGCUCCGUAAGGAGAGUUGAAUGUACCUACAAAGGAAGCACCGGCUAACUUCGUGCCAGCAGCCGCGGUAAUACGAGGGGUGCAAGUGUUGUUCGGAAUCACUGGGCGUAAAGGGAGCGUAGGCGGAAGUGUAAGUCAGAUGUUUAAUCCCGGGGCUCAACCUCGGACUUGCGUAUGAAACUGCAUUUCUUGAAUAUUGUAGAGGUAGAUAGAAUUUCCGGUGUAGCGGUGGAAUGCGUAGAUACCGGGAGGAAUACCAGUUGCGAAGGCGAUCUACUGGACAAAUAUUGACACUGAGGCUCGAAAGCGUGGGUAGCGAACAGGAUUAGAUACCCUGGUAGUCCACGCUGUAAUCGGUGAAUACUAGGUGUUGGGCAAGUUAACGUCUCAGCGCCGCAAGCU